This 486-nucleotide ribosomal RNA is filed under the name uncultured bacterium. Its description in RNAcentral is "partial 16S ribosomal RNA". It matches the Rfam family "Bacterial small subunit ribosomal RNA", at positions 28 to 507 of the family's 1533-position model. The record is from RNAcentral.
GAUGAACGCUGGCGGCGUGCCUAAUACAUGCAAGUCGAACGCUGGAAAUCUAGCUUUCUUGAUUGAAGGAGUGGCGAACGGGUGAGUAAUACAUAAGCAACCUACCCACGAAGUCUGGGAUAAUCUCUGGAAACGGGGACUAAUACCGGAUAGGUAAUCGGAACGCAUCUUUUGAUUAUUAAAGGUUAAUAACACUGGUGGAUGGGGUUAUGGCGCAUUAGUUAGUUGGUGAGGUAACGGCCCACCAAAGCGAUGAUGCGUAGCCGGCCUGAGAGGGUGAACGGCCGCAUUGGGACUGAGACACGGCCCAGACUCCUACGGGAGGCAGCAGUAGAGAAUUUUCGGCAAUGGGGGAAACCCUGACCGGGCAACGCCGCGUGAGUGAUGACGGCCUUCGGAUUAUAAAGCUCUGUUGUAAGGGAAGAACGGUAGAUAGAGAAUAUCUAAAUGACGGUACCUUACCAGAAAGCCACGGCUAACUACGUG